RNAcentral lists this ribosomal RNA (408 nucleotides) under uncultured bacterium. RNAcentral's name for it is "partial 16S ribosomal RNA". It matches the Rfam family "Bacterial small subunit ribosomal RNA", at positions 28 to 526 of the family's 1533-position model. The record is from RNAcentral.
GACGAACGCUGGCGGCGUGCUUAACACAUGCAAGUCGAACGAAGUGGCGAACGGGUGAGUAACGCGUAAUCAACCUGCCCUUCAGAGGGGGACAACAGUUGGAAACGACUGCUAAUACCGCAUACUGAAGGAGGGGAUUGCGUCUGAUUAGCUAGUUGGAGGGGGAACGGCCGACCAAGGCGAUGAUCAGUAGCCGGGCUGAGGGGGUGAACGGCCACAUUGGGACUGAGAAACGGGCCAGACUCCUAAGGGAGGGAGCAGUGGGGAAUCUUCCGAAAUGGACGAAAGUCUUACGGAGCCACGCCGCGUGAGUGAUGACGGCCUUCGGGUUGUAAAGCUCUGUUAAUCGGGACGCGGUACCGGAAUAGAAAGCAACGGCUAACUACGUGCCAGCAGCCGCGGUAAUUC